Molecule: ribosomal RNA, 483 nt
Filed under: uncultured bacterium
Lineage: Bacteria
Description: partial 16S ribosomal RNA
Rfam family: Bacterial small subunit ribosomal RNA
Source: RNAcentral
AUUGAACGCUGGCGGCAGGCCUAACACAUGCAAGUCGAGCGGAUGAAGGGAGCUUGCUCCUGGAUUCAGCGGCGGACGGGUGAGUAAUGCCUAGGAAUCUGCCUGGUAGUGGGGGAUAACGUCCGGAAACGGGCGCUAAUACCGCAUACGUCCUGAGGGAGAAAGUGGGGGAUCUUCGGACCUCCCGCCAUCAGAUGAGCCUAGGUCGGAUUGGCUAGUUGGUGGGGUAAAGGCCUACCAGGGCGACGAGCCGUAACUGGUCUGAGAGGAUGAUCAGUCAACCGGGACCUGGACAAGGGCCCAGCCCCCUACGGGAGGCAGCGGGGGGAAAAAUUGGACAAUGGGCGAAAGCCUGUUCCAGCCAUGCCGCGUGUGUGAAGAAGGUUUUCGGAUUGUAAAGCACUUUAUGUUGGAAGGAAAGGAAGUGAGUUAAUACCUGGCUGUUUUGCCGUUACCAACAGAAUAAGCACCGGCUAACUCCGU